Molecule: ribosomal RNA, 407 nt
Filed under: uncultured bacterium
Lineage: Bacteria
Description: bacterial SSU rRNA
Rfam family: Bacterial small subunit ribosomal RNA
Source: RNAcentral
AAUCAACGCUGGCGGCGUGCCUAACACAUGCAAGUCGAACGCGAAAGGGGAGCAAUCCCUGAGUAGAGUGGCAAACGGGUGAGUAACACGUGGGUGACCUGCCUUCGAGUGGGGGAUAACGUCCCGAAAGGGACGCUAAUACCGCAUGACAUCCUGCCCUUGGAAGGGCGGAGAUCAAAGCCGGGGAUCGCAAGACCUGGCGCUUGAAGAGGGGCCCGCGCCUGAUUAGCUAGNGGUAGGGUAACGGCUUACCAAGGCCACGAUCAGUAUCCGGCCUGAGAGGGCGGACGGACACACUGGGACUGAGACACGGCCCAGACUCCUACGGGAGGCAGCAGUGGGGAAUUGUUCGCAAUGGGCGCAAGCCUGACGACGCAACGCCGCGUGGAGGACGAAGAUCUUCGGGU